GUCUCUGGCCAUGCCACCCUGAACAAGCCCAAUGUCUGAUCUCAGAAGCUAAGCAGGGUCGGGCCUGGUUAGUACUUGGAAGAACAGGUGCUGUAGGCA
Molecule: ribosomal RNA, 99 nt
Filed under: Pteropus alecto (black flying fox)
Lineage: Eukaryota; Metazoa; Chordata; Mammalia; Chiroptera; Pteropodidae
Source: RNAcentral